RNAcentral lists this ribosomal RNA (466 nucleotides) under uncultured bacterium. Its description in RNAcentral is "partial 16S ribosomal RNA". It matches the Rfam family "Bacterial small subunit ribosomal RNA", at positions 30 to 507 of the family's 1533-position model. The record is from RNAcentral.
CGAACGCUGGCGGCGUGCUUAACACAUGCAAGUCGAACGGAAAGGCCCUGCUUUUGUGGGGUGCUCGAGUGGCGAACGGGUGAGUAACACGUGAGUAACCUGCCCUUGACUUUGGGAUAACUUCAGGAAACUGGGGCUAAUACCGGAUAGGAGCUCCUGCUGCAUGGUGGGGGUUGGAAAGUUUCGGCGGUUGGGGAUGGACUCGCGGCUUAUCAGCUUGUUGGUGGGGUAGUGGCUUACCAAGGCUUUGACGGGUAGCCGGCCUGAGAGGGUGACCGGCCACAUUGGGACUGAGAUACGGCCCAGACUCCUACGGGAGGCAGCAGUGGGGAAUAUUGCACAAUGGGCGGAAGCCUGAUGCAGCAACGCCGCGUGCGGGAUGACGGCCUUUGGGUUGUAAACCGCUUUCGCCUGUGACGAAGCGUGAGUGACGGUAAUGGGUAAAGAAGCACCGGCUAACUACGUG